GCUGGGUGUGGUGGCUCACGCCUGUAAUCCCAGCACUUUGGGAGGCCGAGGUGGGUGGAUCACCUGAGGUCAGGAGUUCAAGACCAGCCUGGCCAACAUGGUGAAAUCCCAUCUCUA
RNAcentral lists this non-coding RNA (117 nucleotides) under Gorilla gorilla gorilla (western lowland gorilla). The record is from Rfam by way of RNAcentral. Lineage: Eukaryota; Metazoa; Chordata; Mammalia; Primates; Hominidae.